ACUCCUACGGGAGGCAGCAGUGGGGAAUUUUGGACAAUGGGGGCAACCCUGAUCCAGCCAUGCCGCGUGAGUGAAGAAGGCCUUCGGGUUGUAAAGCUCUUUCGGCCGGGAAGAAAUCGUGCGGGCUAAUACCCUGUAUGGAUGACGGUACCGGAAGAAGAAGCACCGGCUAACUACGUGCCAGCAGCCGCGGUAAUACGUAGGGUGCGAGCGUUAAUCGGAAUUACUGGGCGUAAAGCGUGCGCAGGCGGCUCUAUAAGACAGAUGUGAAAUCCCCGGGCUUAACCUGGGAACUGCGUUUGUGACUGUAGGGCUUGAGUGCGGCAGAGGGGGGUGGAAUUCCACGUGUAGCAGUGAAAUGCGUAGAGAUGUGGAGGAACACCGAUGGCGAAGGCAGCCCCCUGGGUCGACACUGACGCUCAUGCACGAAAGCGUGGGGAGCAAACAGGAUUAGAUACCCUGGUAGUC
Molecule: ribosomal RNA, 468 nt
Filed under: uncultured bacterium
Lineage: Bacteria
Description: bacterial SSU rRNA
Rfam family: Bacterial small subunit ribosomal RNA
Source: RNAcentral